AUGUCACAGGUCCACUCUCUUAUUCUCAGGCGCCAUUAUGCUUAUGGAUGCUUCUACUGGGACUGGCUGGUCGUCAAGAGGAACCUGUUGCUCGUCCUUGACACCAAGAGCAUGGAGUUCUCCAUCACUGACCUACCACCGGGAGAAUGGAGUACAAAAGGUUUAGCCAUUGUUGAGGCAGGGGAAGGCGGGCUUGGGAUGUUUGGUCUCCAUGGUGAAAAUGAAUUUGCAUCUGAUCUCAGUUAUACCAUUUUGCGAAACAGAUGCGAGAGUCCCAGCCAGUGGCUGAUGGAGAAGACAAUCUCACUAGAUCCUGGGUACCGAUAUUAUAUCAAAUCUGUAACAGAGAGGUGUUUGCUAUUGAUGAGGACAGAGUCGCCGCUAGGCUCACCUCUAGAGAAGCCACUCCUUGAGUUUUUCUCAAUGGACAUCAAGACAUUAAAGGUUCAGAGGCUUUGUCUCAAACAAUGCAAGCUUAUGCUAUCCGAGAUAAGCAUAUAUGCCUACUUUUUUCAAACCGGGAUAUAUUCCAACUUCCCAUCAUCGUUCUUGCCUCCACAGAUAGUAUGA
Molecule: ribosomal RNA, 570 nt
Filed under: Triticum aestivum (bread wheat)
Lineage: Eukaryota; Viridiplantae; Streptophyta; Magnoliopsida; Poales; Poaceae
Description: partial small subunit ribosomal RNA
Source: RNAcentral